UUUGACUGAAAAAUAUACAGUACAGGCCAAAAGUUUGGACACACUUUUUCAUUCAAUGCGUUUACUUUAUUUUCACGACUAUUUACAUUGUAGAUUCUCACUGAAGGCAUCAAAACUAUGAAUGAACACAUAUGGAAUUAUGUACUUAACAAAAAAGUGUGAAAUAACUGAAAACAUGUCUUAUAUUUUAGAUUCUUCAAAGUAGUCACGCUUUGCUUUUUUGAUAGCGCUGUAAACCCUUGGUGUUCUCUCAAUGAGCUUCAUGAGGUAGUCACCUGAAAUGGUUUUCACUUCACAGGUGUGCCUUGUCAGGGUUAAUUAGUGGAAUUUGUUCCCUUAUUAAUAAAAAAGCAAAGCGUGGCUACUUUGAAGAAUCUAAAAUAUAAGACAUGUUUUCAGAUAUUUCACACUUUUUUGUUAAGUACAUAAUUCCAUAUGUGUUCAUUCAUAGUUUUGAUGCCUUCAGUGAGAAUCUACAAUGUAAAUAGUCAUGAAAAUAAAAAGGAAACGCAUUGAAUGAGAAGGUGUGUCCAAACUUUUGGCCUGUACUGUAUGUGUGUAUGUGUGUGUG
Molecule: long non-coding RNA, 571 nt
Organism: Sander lucioperca (pikeperch)
Lineage: Eukaryota; Metazoa; Chordata; Actinopteri; Perciformes; Percidae
Exons: 3
Source: RefSeq, a predicted model, not a curated record